This 497-nucleotide ribosomal RNA is filed under the name uncultured bacterium. RNAcentral describes it as "partial 16S ribosomal RNA". It matches the Rfam family "Bacterial small subunit ribosomal RNA", at positions 28 to 507 of the family's 1533-position model. The record is from RNAcentral.
GAUGAACGCUGGCGGCGUGCCUAAUACAUGCAAGUCGAGCGAACAGACGAGGAGCUUGCUCCUCUGACGUUAGCGGCGGACGGGUGAGUAACACGCGGAUAACCUACCUAUAAGACUGGGAUAACUUCGGGAAACCGGAGCUAAUACCGGAUAAUAUAUUGAACCGCAUGGUUCAAUAGUGAAAGACGGUUUUGCUGUCACUUAUAGAUGGAUCCGCGCCGCAUUAGCUAGUUGGUAAGGUAACGGCUUACCAAGGCGACGAUGCGUAGCCGACCUGAGAGGGUGAUCGGCCACACUGGAACUGAGACACGGUCCAGACUCCUACGGGAGGCAGCAGUAGGGAAUCUUCCGCAAUGGGCGAAAGCCUGACGGAGCAACGCCGCGUGAGUGAUGAAGGUCUUCGGAUCGUAAAACUCUGUUAUUAGGGAAGAACAAAUGUGUAAGUAACUAUGCACGUCUUGACGGUACCUAAUCAGAAAGCCACGGCUAACUACGUG